This 396-nucleotide ribosomal RNA is filed under the name uncultured bacterium. RNAcentral's name for it is "partial 16S ribosomal RNA". It matches the Rfam family "Bacterial small subunit ribosomal RNA", at positions 523 to 917 of the family's 1533-position model. The record is from RNAcentral.
AUACGAAGGGUGCAAGCGUUACUCGGAAUUACUGGGCGUAAAGCGUGCGUAGGUGGUUGUUUAAGUCUGUCGUGAAAGCCCUGGGCUCAACCUGGGAAUGGCGAUGGAAACUGGGCGACUAGAGUGUGGCAGAGGGUAGUGGAAUUCCUGGUGUAGCAGUGAAAUGCGUAGAGGUCAGGAGGAACAUCCGUGGCGAAGGCGACUGCCUGGGCCAACACUGACACGGAGGCACGAAAGCGUGGGGAGCAAACAGGAUUAGAUACCCUGGUAGUCCACGCCCUAAACGAUGCGAACUGGAUGUUGGGUGCAAUUUGGCACGCAGUAUCGAAGCUAACGCGUUAAGUUCGCCGCCUGGGGAGUACGGUCGCAAGACUGAAACUCAAAUGAAUUGACGGG